RNAcentral lists this ribosomal RNA (253 nucleotides) under uncultured bacterium. RNAcentral describes it as "partial 16S ribosomal RNA". It matches the Rfam family "Bacterial small subunit ribosomal RNA", at positions 524 to 776 of the family's 1533-position model. The record is from RNAcentral.
UACGUAGGGGGCAAGCGUUGUCCGGAUUUAUUGGGCGUAAAGAGCGUGUAGGCGGCUAGGUAGGUCCGUUGUGAAAACUCGAGGCUUAACCUCGAGAUGUCAUCGGAAACCAUUUGGCUAGAGUCCGGAAGAGGAGAGUGGAAUUCCUGGUGUAGCGGUGAAAUGCGCAGAUAUCAGGAAGAACACCAAUGGCGAAAGCAGCUCUCUGGGACGGUACUGACGCUGAGACGCGAAAGCGUGGGGAGCGAACAGG